This 255-nucleotide ribosomal RNA is filed under the name uncultured bacterium. RNAcentral describes it as "partial 16S ribosomal RNA". It matches the Rfam family "Bacterial small subunit ribosomal RNA", at positions 524 to 777 of the family's 1533-position model. The record is from RNAcentral.
UACGUAGGGGGCAAGCGUUGUCCGGAUUUAUUGGGCGUAAAGAGCGUGUAGGCGGCCAUACAGGUCAGCUGUGAAAACUCGAGGCUCAACCUCGAGACGUCGGUUGAAACCGUAUGGCUAGAGUCCGGAAGAGGAGAGUGGAAUUCCCGGUGUAGCGGUGAAAUGCGCAGAUAUCGGGAAGAACACCCGUGGCGAAGGCGGCUCUCUGGGACGGUACUGACGCUGAGACGGCGAAAGCGUGGGGAGCGAACGAGG